RNAcentral lists this transfer RNA (73 nucleotides) under Trichonephila inaurata madagascariensis. It matches the Rfam family "tRNA". From Rfam's summary of the family: Transfer RNA (tRNA) molecules are approximately 80 nucleotides in length. The record is from Rfam by way of RNAcentral. Lineage: Eukaryota; Metazoa; Arthropoda; Arachnida; Araneae; Nephilidae.
GUCCCUGUAGCGUCAUGGAUAGCGCGUUGGACUUCUAAUCCAAACGUCGUGGGUUUGAAUCCUACAUGGGAUG